RNAcentral lists this unclassified non-coding RNA (433 nucleotides) under soil metagenome. RNAcentral's name for it is "partial contains 5.8S ribosomal RNA, internal transcribed spacer 2, and large subunit ribosomal RNA". The stretch from base 1 to 120 matches the Rfam family "5.8S ribosomal RNA", at positions 35 to 154 of the family's 154-position model. The record is from RNAcentral.
GAUGAAGAACGUAGCGAAAUGCGAUACGUAAUGUGAAUUGCAGAAUUCAGGGAAUCAUCGAAUCUUUGAACGCAUAUUGCGCUCUCUGGUAUUCCGGAGAGCAUGCUUGUUUGAGUAUCAGUAAACACCUCAACUUCCAUAUCUUUUUUGAAAUGGGAGUUGGACUUGAGUGAUCCCAACGCUUUUCCUCACCGAAAAGUGGCGGGUUACUUGAAAUGCAGGUGCAGCUGGACUUUUCUCUGAGCUAUAAGCAUAUCUAUUUAGUCUGCCUAAAAAACAGAUUAUUACCUUUGCUGCAGCUAACAUAAAGGAGAUUAGUUCUUGUGCUGACUGAUGCAGGAUUCACAAAGACAGGCUUCGGCCGACUUUGUAAACUCGAUCUCAAAUCAAGUAAGACUACCCGCUGAACUUAAGCAUAUCAAUAAGCGGAGGA